This 253-nucleotide ribosomal RNA is filed under the name uncultured bacterium. RNAcentral describes it as "partial 16S ribosomal RNA". It matches the Rfam family "Bacterial small subunit ribosomal RNA", at positions 524 to 776 of the family's 1533-position model. The record is from RNAcentral.
UACGGAGGGUGCAAACGUUGCUCGGAAUCAUUGGGCGUAAAGCGCACGUAGGCGGUCCAGUAAGUCGGGUGUGAAAGCCCUCGGCUCAACCGAGGAAGUGCAUUCGAAACUACUGAACUUGAGUAUGGAAGAGGGUCGCGGAAUUCCCGGUGUAGAGGUGAAAUUCGUAGAUAUCGGGAGGAACACCAGUGGCGAAGGCGGCGACCUGGGCCAAUACUGACGCUGAGGUGCGAAAGCCAGGGGAGCGAACGGG